Molecule: long non-coding RNA, 440 nt
Organism: Oxyura jamaicensis (ruddy duck)
Lineage: Eukaryota; Metazoa; Chordata; Aves; Anseriformes; Anatidae
Exons: 3
Source: RefSeq, a predicted model, not a curated record
AGAUGGGACCUCUUGGGCACUGCUGAGGUGGCUCGCAAACUGAUCACGCUCCAGCUGGCACCAAGGAGUUUCUCGGGGAGCCACCGGCCAUGACCGACCCCCGCUGCUCACAACGUACCUCUGGAAGGAUAGUAGAAAAUUAUUUGCCUUUGAAUGGGAAAACCCCCAGAAUGGAUGAAAGACACAAUUAAUUUGGACAAGACUUCCACAAGGCUUCAAGAAUAGCCCGACCCUCUUCGGGAGCCAGCUGGCCAAGGAACUGGAAAUCUGGACAACGCUAGGACAAAUACAGCAGCAUUUCUAGGAACUGUUCCAGAAGAAGGACCAUUGGAAUACAAUUGUGUGGAAAUAAUCCAACAUACUUAUGCUAGCCGUGAGGAUUUGAAGGAUGUACCCCUUGAAAGGUAUGACUGAGAACUUUUUACUGAUGGUAGUAGUUU